CCUGCUUAGUAAACUUACUCAAUGACAUAAUACUUACGUAAGUAAAAUGACUGAAAUACGCACAUAUUUGAAAGCAGUGGGUAAUGGAAAAUGAAAUACCCACUCAACAUUCAUAAUACCCACUCCAAAAAUAUUCAGUGGGUACAGUACCUACAUGAGCUGAAUCUUAUCUGGAGCUCUGGACUGACAUACCAU
Molecule: long non-coding RNA, 195 nt
Organism: Haliotis rubra (blacklip abalone)
Lineage: Eukaryota; Metazoa; Mollusca; Gastropoda; Lepetellida; Haliotidae
Exons: 3
Source: RefSeq, a predicted model, not a curated record